AACGAACGCUGGCGGCAUGCCUAACACAUGCAAGUCGAACGAGAUCUUCGGGUCUAGUGGCGCACGGGUGCGUAACGCGUGGGAAUCUGCCCUUCGGUUCGGAAUAACAGUUGGGAAGGACGGCUAAUACCGGAUGAUGACGAAAGUCCAAGAUUUAUCGCCAGAGGAUGAGCCCGCGUAGGAUUAGCUAGUUGGUGUGGUAAAGGCGCACCAAGGCGACGAUCCUUAGCUGGCCUGAGAGGAUGAUCAGCCACACUGGGACUGAGACACGGCCCAGACUCCUACGGGAGGCAGCAGUGGGGAAUAUUGGACAAUGGGCGAAAGCCUGAUCCAGCAAUGCCGCGUGAGUUAUGAAGGCCUUAGGGUUGUAAAGCUCUUUUACCCGGGAUGAUAAUGACAGUACCGGGAGAAUAAGCUCCGGCUAACUCCGUGCCAGCCGCCGCGGUAA
RNAcentral lists this ribosomal RNA (448 nucleotides) under uncultured bacterium. Its description in RNAcentral is "partial 16S ribosomal RNA". It matches the Rfam family "Bacterial small subunit ribosomal RNA", at positions 29 to 523 of the family's 1533-position model. The record is from RNAcentral.